RNAcentral lists this ribosomal RNA (253 nucleotides) under uncultured bacterium. RNAcentral describes it as "partial 16S ribosomal RNA". It matches the Rfam family "Bacterial small subunit ribosomal RNA", at positions 524 to 776 of the family's 1533-position model. The record is from RNAcentral.
UACGUAGGGGGCAAGCGUUAUCCGGAUUUACUGGGUGUAAAGGGAGCGUAGACGGCGAUGCAAGUCUGAAGUGAAAGGCGGGGGCCCAACCCCCGGACUGCUUUGGAAACUGUAUGGCUGGAGUGCAGGAGAGGUAAGUGGAAUUCCUAGUGUAGCGGUGAAAUGCGUAGAUAUUAGGAGGAACACCAGUGGCGAAGGCGGCUUACUGGACUGUAACUGACGCUGAGGCUCGAAAGCGUGGGGAGCAAACAGG